AGCCAUAAGAACUAGUCCUGUAGUUGUUGUGGUUAGCGGUUUUAUCGUGUUUCCAGCACGUUAAAGCCGCGUC
This 73-nucleotide small RNA is filed under the name Xenorhabdus budapestensis. RNAcentral's name for it is "symR". Lineage: Bacteria; Pseudomonadati; Pseudomonadota; Gammaproteobacteria; Enterobacterales; Morganellaceae. The record is from RNAcentral.